RNAcentral lists this ribosomal RNA (251 nucleotides) under uncultured bacterium. RNAcentral's name for it is "partial 16S ribosomal RNA". It matches the Rfam family "Bacterial small subunit ribosomal RNA", at positions 524 to 776 of the family's 1533-position model. The record is from RNAcentral.
UACGUAGGGUGCAAGCGUUUGUCCGGAAUUAUUGGGCGUAAAGAGCUCGUAGGCGGUUUGUCGCGUCUGCUGUGAAACCCGAGGCUCAACCUCGGGCCUGCAGUGGGUACGGGCAGACUAGAGUGCGGUAGGGGAGAUUGGAAUUCCUGGUGUAGCGGUGGAAUGCGCAGAUAUCAGGAGGAACACCAAUGGCGAAGGCAGAUCUCUGGGACGGUACUGACGCUGAGACGCGAAAGCGUGGGAGCAACAGG